RNAcentral lists this transfer RNA (85 nucleotides) under Vibrio parahaemolyticus. RNAcentral describes it as "tRNA-Leu". It matches the Rfam family "tRNA". Rfam says of the family: Transfer RNA (tRNA) molecules are approximately 80 nucleotides in length. Their secondary structure includes four short double-helical elements and three loops (D, anti-codon, and T loops). Further hydrogen bonds mediate the characteristic L-shaped molecular structure. tRNAs have two regions of fundamental functional importance: the anti-codon, which is responsible for specific mRNA codon recognition, and the 3' end, to which the tRNAs corresponding amino acid is attached (by aminoacyl-tRNA synthetases). tRNAs cope with the degeneracy of the genetic code in two manners: having more than one tRNA (with a specific anti-codon) for a particular amino acid; and 'wobble' base-pairing, i.e. permitting non-standard base-pairing at the 3rd anti-codon position. Lineage: Bacteria; Pseudomonadati; Pseudomonadota; Gammaproteobacteria; Vibrionales; Vibrionaceae. The record is from RNAcentral.
GCGGAAGUGGCGGAAUUGGUAGACGCACCAGAUUUAGGUUCUGGCGCCGUAGGGUGUGAGAGUUCAAGUCUCUCCUUCCGCACCA